This 398-nucleotide ribosomal RNA is filed under the name Pseudomonadota bacterium. RNAcentral describes it as "partial 23S ribosomal RNA". It matches the Rfam family "Bacterial large subunit ribosomal RNA", at positions 2609 to 2925 of the family's 2925-position model. RNAcentral also lists the same sequence under 1 other name. The record is from RNAcentral. Lineage: Bacteria; Pseudomonadati; Pseudomonadota.
GCCAGACGCCUGAAGAGGCGAAGAUAUAGUCCGAGCUUCCGGGCGACCGGAAGAGGCAGGCAGAAAUGACCUGCCCCAUCCGAACCUGGAGGAGUAACAACUCUGUCGGUCCCUAUCCACUGUGUGCGCAGGUGACUUGAGGGGAGCUGCUCCUAGUACGAGAGGACCGGAGUGGACGGACCUCUGGUGUACCGGUUGUCCUGCCAAGGGCACGUGCCGGGUAGCCAUGUCCGGACGGGAUAAGCGCUGAAAGCAUCUAAGCGCGAAGCCCACCCCAAGAUGAGGUCACCCACCGGGUAACCGGGUAAGUCCCCUGGGAGACUACCAGGUUGAUAGGCCGCAGGUGCAAGGCCGCAAGGCUCAGCCUAGCGGUACUAAUAGGACGAGGGCUUGAUCCU